AUAAAAAAGCGAAAAUCUUAUAUACUCAUAAGUCAUGAGAUAUGCUACUUCUAUAUAUACAUUUUUAACAAAUAUACACUACUUAUGUUUCAUAUUUUUGAUUUUGACAUAUGUUCAAGCACUAGAUGUGGGAGCUUGGAAAUGCCCUGAAGGCAUCGUCUAUCCGAGUCCUAUCUCAGGAAGGUGCAUUAAUUCCAGGAGCACAGAGUGUAAAAAACACUAUGAAGUUGAGGGACAGAAUGUUACUAAUUGCCGUUGUGAUACUUAUAGCAUGCAAAAUCCUGCGAGGAUUACUUGCUACUGUUGCAAAGUUAAAUCAUAAUUGAUCAACGAAACAUCCAGAGACGGUUACUCUAUGCAAUAUACGACGGCAUUGGAUCUUUAUAUUGGAACAUCUACUAGAAAAUCAUGAUAUUUAGCAGUCCUCCCUUUUAUUUUCAUAUUAAUAUCACAUUAAUUAAGUUCCAACAAAUAGUAAUGGAUCAACUAAAUUAAACUCAAAGACUAGUUAAUAAGACCCAGUACAUCUUU
Molecule: long non-coding RNA, 531 nt
Organism: Brassica rapa (field mustard)
Lineage: Eukaryota; Viridiplantae; Streptophyta; Magnoliopsida; Brassicales; Brassicaceae
Gene: SP11-60
Product: S-locus pollen protein
Source: RefSeq, a predicted model, not a curated record